UACGUAGGGUGCGAGCGUUAAUCGGAGUUACUGGGCGUAAAGCGUGCGCAGGCGGUUUUGUAAGCCAGAUGUGAAAGCCCCGGGCUUAACCUGGGAAUGGCAUUUGGGACUGCAAGGCUUGAGUGCGGCAGAGGAGACUGGAAUUCCUGGUGUAGCGGUGAAAUGCGUAGAUAUCAGGAGGAAUACCGAUGGCGAAGGCAGGUCUCUGGGCUGACACUGACGCUCAUGCACGAAAGCGUGGGGAGCAAACAGG
RNAcentral lists this ribosomal RNA (253 nucleotides) under uncultured bacterium. RNAcentral's name for it is "partial 16S ribosomal RNA". It matches the Rfam family "Bacterial small subunit ribosomal RNA", at positions 524 to 776 of the family's 1533-position model. The record is from RNAcentral.